AGAAUCAACGCUGGCGGCGUGCCUCAGACAUGCAAGUCGAACGCGAAAGUCCCCUUCGGGGGGCAAGUAGAGUGGCGCACGGGUGAGUAACACGUAGGUAAUCUACCUUUGGAUGGGGAAUAACAACCGGAAACGGUUGCUAAUACUGCAUAAUGCAGCGGCACCUAAUGGUGACAGUUGUUAAAGCGGGGGAUCGAAAGACCUCGCGUCUAAAGAGGAGCCUGCGGCGGAUUAGCUAGUUGGUAAGGUAAUGGCUUACCAAGGCUACGAUCC
This 273-nucleotide ribosomal RNA is filed under the name uncultured bacterium. RNAcentral describes it as "partial small subunit ribosomal RNA". It matches the Rfam family "Bacterial small subunit ribosomal RNA", at positions 26 to 282 of the family's 1533-position model. The record is from RNAcentral.